RNAcentral lists this ribosomal RNA (1545 nucleotides) under uncultured bacterium. RNAcentral describes it as "SSU rRNA". It matches the Rfam family "Bacterial small subunit ribosomal RNA". The record is from RNAcentral.
AGAGUUUGAUCCUGGCUCAGAGCGAACGCUGGCGGCGCGCUUAACACAUGCAAGUCGAACGUGAACGGGGCAACCCUAGUAAAGUGGCGUACGGGUGAGUAACACGUAGGUAAUCUACCUUACAGUCUGGAAUAACCGGCCGAAAGGCUGGCUAAUACUGGAUAGAGCGACGGAAGUCAUAAUGACUUUUUCGGGAAAGGGAGCUCGAUAAGGGCCUUCGCUGUAGGAUGAGCCUGCGUCUGAUUAGCUAGUUGGUGAGGUAAUGGCUCACCAAGGCGAUGAUCAGUAGCUGGUCUGAGAGGAUGAUCAGCCACACUGGAACUGAAACACGGUCCAGACUCCUACGGGAGGCAGCAGUGGGGAAUCUUGCGCAAUGGACGAAAGUCUGACGCAGCCACGCCGCGUGAGUGAAGAAGGCCUUCGGGUUGUAAAGCUCUGUCACCUGGGACGAAAACACUUACGGUUAAUAGCCGUAGGAAUUGACGGUACCAGGGGAGGAAGCACCGGCUAACCUCGUGCCAGCAGCCGCGGUAAUACGAGGGGUGCAAGCGUUGCUCGGAAUUAUUGGGCGUAAAGGGUUGGUAGGUGGUCUUGUUUGUCUAAGGUGAAAUCCCAUGGCUUAACUGUGGAAGUGCCCUAGAAACGGCAAGACUAGAGUCCUAGAGGGGUUUGUGGAGUUCCCGGUGUAGCGGUGAAAUGCGCAGAGAUCGGGAGGAACACCAGCGGCGAAGGCGGCAAACUGGAUAGGAACUGACACUCAACAACGAAAGCGUGGGGAUCAAACAGGAUUAGAUACCCUGGUAGUCCACGCUGUAAACGAUGGGUACUAGGCUUUGUGGGAAUAGACCCCUGCAGAGCCGGAGCUAACGCAAUAAGUACCCCGCCUGGGAAGUACGGUCGCAAGACUAAAACUCAAAGGAAUUGACGGGGGCCCGCACAAGCGGUGGAUCAUGUGGUUUAAUUCGAAGCAACGCGCAAAACCUUACCUGGGUUUGACAUCCUCGGACCGCUGUAGAAAUACAGUUUUUGUAGCAAUACAACCGAGAGACAGGUGCUGCAUGGCUGUCGUCAGCUCGUGUGGUGACAUGUUGGGUUAAGUCCCGCAACGAGCGCAACCCUUGUCUUUAGUUGCCAGCAUUAAGUUGGGCACUCUAGAGAGACUGCCGUGGUUAACACGGAGGAAGGUGGGGAUGACGUCAAGUCCUCAUGGCCUUUAUAUCCAGGGCGACACACGUGAUACAAUGGAUGACACAAAGGGAAGCGAACCCGCGAGGGGGAGCGAAUCUCAAAAAGUCAUUCUCAGUUCGGAUUGGAGUCUGCAACUCGACUCCAUGAAGCUGGAAUCGCUAGUAAUCGCGGAUCAGAACGCCGCGGUGAAUACGUUCCCGGGCCUUGUACACACCGCCCGUCACGCCAUGGGAGCUGACUCAACCAGAAAACGUUAUCGCUAACCGUAAGGAUGCGACCGUUGAAGGUGGGGUUGGUGACUGGGGUGAAGUCGUAACAAGGUAGCCGUAUCGGAAGGUGCGGCUGGAUCACCUCCUU